GGACGGAUCUCUGGAGAGACCAAUAAAUGGCGCCGAAGGGCAAAUUCCAUAGAUGGAAUAAUCUCUCAGGCAAAAGGACAGAGCAAAUUCA
This 91-nucleotide non-coding RNA is filed under the name Pseudobacteroides cellulosolvens. Its description in RNAcentral is "Glycine sequence". It matches the Rfam family "Glycine riboswitch aptamer". Rfam says of the family: This family represents the bacterial glycine riboswitch. Glycine riboswitches usually consist of two metabolite-binding aptamers domains with similar structures in tandem. Lineage: Bacteria; Bacillati; Bacillota; Clostridia; Eubacteriales; Oscillospiraceae. The record is from RNAcentral.